UCUGGUGGCCUAGUGGUAGAAUGUCCUCCUCGAACGUGGGGGGUCACGGGUUUGAACCCCGGCCUAGUCAU
Non-coding RNA from Potamilus streckersoni, 71 nucleotides. The record is from the annotation of a GenBank genome assembly. NCBI's taxonomy places the organism in Eukaryota, Metazoa, Mollusca, Bivalvia, Unionida, Unionidae.